RNAcentral lists this ribosomal RNA (255 nucleotides) under uncultured bacterium. RNAcentral describes it as "partial 16S ribosomal RNA". It matches the Rfam family "Bacterial small subunit ribosomal RNA", at positions 57 to 305 of the family's 1533-position model. The record is from RNAcentral.
GCAAGUCGAACGAGAAAGUACCUUCGGGUGCGAGUAGAGUGGCGCACGGGUGAGUAACACGUAGGUGACCUGCCGUUUGGAGGGGGAUAACACGGAGAAAUUCGUGCUAAUACCGCGUAAGCACUACAACUUUGAAAGGAGUAGUGGAUAGGAUGCUUCGGCAUUCACCGAACGAUGGGCCUGCGUAGCAUUAGCUUGAUGGUGGGGUAAUGGCCUACCAUGGCUACGAUGCUUAGCUGGUCUGAGAGGAUGAUC